Molecule: ribosomal RNA, 232 nt
Filed under: uncultured bacterium
Lineage: Bacteria
Description: partial 16S ribosomal RNA
Rfam family: Bacterial small subunit ribosomal RNA
Source: RNAcentral
CCUGCCUUGGAGAGGGGAAUAACACAGAGAAAUUUGUGCUAAUACCGCAUGAUGCAGUUGGGUCGCAUGGCUCUGACUGCCAAAGAUUUUAUCGCUCUGAGAUGGCCUCGCGUCUGAUUAGCUAGUUGGUGGGGCAACGGCCCACCAAGGCGACGAUCAGUAGCCGGACUGAGAGGUUGACCGGCCACAUUGGGACUGAGACACGGCCCAGACUCCUACGGGAGGCAGCAUG